RNAcentral lists this ribosomal RNA (503 nucleotides) under uncultured bacterium. RNAcentral describes it as "partial 16S ribosomal RNA". It matches the Rfam family "Bacterial small subunit ribosomal RNA", at positions 30 to 523 of the family's 1533-position model. The record is from RNAcentral.
AUUGAACGCUGGCGGCAGGCUUAACACAUGCAAGUCGAGCGGGGUGAUGGUGCUUGCACUAUCACUUAGCGGCGGACGGGUGAGUAAUGCUUAGGAAUCUGCCUAUUAGUGGGGGACAACAUCUCGAAAGGGAUGCUAAUACCGCAUACGUCCUACGGGAGAAAGCAGGGGAUCACUUGUGACCUUGCGCUAAUAGAUGAGCCUAAGUCGGAUUAGCUAGUGGGUGGGGUAAAGGCCUACCAAGGCGACGAUCUGUAGCGGGUCUGUGAGGAUGAUCCGCCACACUGGGACUGAGACGCGGCCCAGACUCCUACGGGAGGCAGCAGUGGGGAAUAUUGGACAAUGGGGGGAACCCUGAUCCAGCCAUGCCGCGUGUGUGAAGAAGGCCUUAUGGUUGUAAAGCACUUUAAGCGAGGAGGAGGCUCUUUUGGUUAAUACCCAAGAUGAGUGGACGUUACUCGCAGAAUAAGCACCGGCUAACUCUGUGCCAGCCGCCGCAGUAA